UGGGGGGGCUAUGGUUUUUUUUUCUGUGCAAACUUUUUUUUUCGCCUGCGGCGAAAAACAAUCUAUUUUUUUCGCGACAAGUCGAAAAACAAUUUUUUUCUUUCAAUUUUAGCAUUACAUAUAGUGGCAGCUGAGGGUGAAACAAACAAAUUUUUUUUCUCAAAAUCAAAAACAAAUUAUUUUUUUCUCCAAAAACUGGAAACAAACUUUUUUUUCCAAAAAAAACCAUAGCCCCCCCC
Molecule: long non-coding RNA, 239 nt
Filed under: Mytilus galloprovincialis (Mediterranean mussel)
Lineage: Eukaryota; Metazoa; Mollusca; Bivalvia; Mytilida; Mytilidae
Source: RNAcentral